UGAGUACGAGCUGCUACGGCAGCGAAGUGGGUGAUGUCAAGCUUCCAAGAAAAGCCCUAUACCCGUUAAGGCAUGAUGGCCUGUACCCGAAACCGACACAGGUGGGGUGGUAGAGAAUACCGAGGGGCGCGAGAUAACUCUCUCUAAGGAACUCGGCAAAAUGGCCCCGUAACUUCGGGAGAAGGGGUGCCACCGCAAGGUGGUCGCAGUGAAGAGGCCCAGGCGACUGUUUACCAAAAACACAGGUCUCCGCUAAGUCGCAAGACGAUGUAUGGGGGCUGACGCCUGCCCAGUGCCGGAAGGUUAAGGAAGCUGGUCAGCGUAAGCGAAGCUAGCGACUGAAGCCCCGGUGAACGGCGGCCGUAACUAUAACGGUCCUAAGGUAGCGAAAUUCCUUGUCGGGUAAGUUCCGACCCGCACGAAAGGCGUAACGAUCUGGGCGCUGUCUCGGAGAGAGGCUCGGCGAAAUAGAAUUGUCUGUGAAGAUGCGGACUACGUGCACCCGGACAGAAAGACCCUAUGAAGCUUUACUGUAGCUUGGUAUUGUGCUCGGGCUCGGAAUGCGCAGGAUAGGUGGGAGGCUAUGAACCAUUGCUUGUGGGUAAUGGUGAGCCACUGGUGAGAUACCACUCUUUCCGAGCUAGAGUUCUAACAGCCACCCGUUAUCCGGGGGCUGGACAGUAUCAGGUGGGCAGUUUGACUGGGGCGGUCGCCUCCUAAAAGGUAACGGAGGCGCGCAAAGGUUUGCUCAGGCUGGUUGGAAAUCAGCCGACGAGUGUAAAAGCAGAAGCAAGCUUGACUGUGAGACCUACAAGUCGAACAGGGAGGAAACUCGGCUUUAGUGAUCCGACGGUUCUGCGUGGAAGGGCCGUCGUUCAACGGAUAAAAGUUACUCUAAGGAUAACAGGCUGAUCUCCCCCAAGAGUUCACAUCGACGGGGAGGUUUGGCACCUCGAUGUCGGCUCAUCGCAACCUGGGGCUGAAGUCGGUCCCAAGGGUUGGGCUGUUCGCCCAUUAAAGCGGUACGCGAGCUGGGUUCAGAACGUCGUGAGACAGUUCGGUCCAUAUCCGGUGCAUGCGCAGGAAUAUUGAGAGGAUUUCUCCCUAGUACGAGAGGACCGGGAGGAACGCACCUCUGGUGUACCAGUUAUCGUGCCAACGGUAAACGCUGGGUAGCCAUGUGCGGAGAGGAUAACCGCUGAAAGCAUCUAAGUGGGAAGCCCACCUCAAGAUGAGUAUUCCCAUGGGGUAACCCAGUAAGGUCACGGGAAGAACACCCGUUGAUAGGCUCUACGUGGAAGCGCAGUAAUGUGUGAAGCGGAGGAGUACUAAUAGACCGAGGGCUUGAC
This 1349-nucleotide ribosomal RNA is filed under the name metagenome. RNAcentral's name for it is "bacterial LSU rRNA". It matches the Rfam family "Bacterial large subunit ribosomal RNA", at positions 1564 to 2925 of the family's 2925-position model. The record is from RNAcentral.